AGAGUUUGAUCAUGGCUCAGAUUGAACGCUGGCGGCAGGCCUAACACAUGCAAGUCGAGCGGAUGAGUGGAGCUUGCUCCAUGAUUCAGCGGCGGACGGGUGAGUAAUGCCUAGGAAUCUGCCUGGUAGUGGGGGACAACGUUUCGAAAGGAACGCUAAUACCGCAUACGUCCUACGGGAGAAAGUGGGGGAUCUUCGGACCUCACGCUAUCAGAUGAGCCUAGGUCGGAUUAGCUAGUUGGCGAGGUAAAGGCUCACCAAGGCGACGAUCCGUAACUGGUCUGAGAGGAUGAUCAGUCACACUGGAACUGAGACACGGUCCAGACUCCUACGGGAGGCAGCAGUGGGGAAUAUUGGACAAUGGGCGAAAGCUGGAUCCAGCCAUGCCGCGUAUGUGAAGAAGGUCUUCGGAUUGUAAAGCACUUUAAGUUGGGAGGAAGGGCAGUAAGUUAAUACCUUGCUGUUUUGACGUUACCGACAGAAUAAGCACCGGCUAACUUCGUGCCAGCAGCCGCGGUAAUACGAGGGUGCAAGCGUUAAUCGGAAUUACUGGGCGUAAAGCGCGCGUAGGUGGUUCGUUAAGUUGGAUGUGAAAGCCCCGGGCUCAACCUGGGAACUGCAUCCAAAACUGGCGAGCUAGAGUAU
This 645-nucleotide ribosomal RNA is filed under the name uncultured bacterium. RNAcentral describes it as "bacterial SSU rRNA". It matches the Rfam family "Bacterial small subunit ribosomal RNA", at positions 8 to 649 of the family's 1533-position model. The record is from RNAcentral.